RNAcentral lists this ribosomal RNA (467 nucleotides) under uncultured bacterium. RNAcentral's name for it is "partial 16S ribosomal RNA". It matches the Rfam family "Bacterial small subunit ribosomal RNA", at positions 29 to 507 of the family's 1533-position model. The record is from RNAcentral.
ACGAACGCUGGCGGCGUGCUUCACCCAUUCCAGUCGCACGGAAAGGCCCUGCUUUUGUGGGGUGCUCGAGUGGCGAACGGGUGAGUAACACGUGAGUAACCUGCCCUUGACUUUGGGAUAACUUCAGGAAACUGGGGCUAAUACCGGAUAGGAGCUCCUGCUGCAUGGUGGGGGUUGGAAAGUUUCGGCGGUUGGGGAUGGACUCGCGGCUUAUCAGCUUGUUGGUGGGGUAGUGGCUUACCAAGGCUUUGACGGGUAGCCGGCCUGAGAGGGUGACCGGCCACAUUGGGACUGAGAUACGGCCCAGACUCCUACGGGAGGCAGCAGUGGGGAAUAUUGCACAAUGGGCGGAAGCCUGAUGCAGCAACGCCGCGUGCGGGAUGACGGCCUUCGGGUUGUAAACCGCUUUCGCCUGUGACGAAGCGUGAGUGACGGUAAUGGGUAAAGAAGCACCGGCUAACUACGUG